This 782-nucleotide long non-coding RNA is filed under the name Bos indicus x Bos taurus (hybrid cattle). RNAcentral's name for it is "lncRNA (ENSBIXG00000020336.1)". Lineage: Eukaryota; Metazoa; Chordata; Mammalia; Artiodactyla; Bovidae. The record is from RNAcentral.
GUGAAGGUUAAAUCUCACGUGGAUUAACUAAUUACUUGCAAAUUGCAGCCUUCAGCAAUUUUUAAUAAAAGAACACCAUCCGCUUCAUGCUAAACUGUAAAAAUGGAUUUCAUUUUCAUAAUAUUAAUGUUAUUCUAUGGAACAGUGCUAUUAGAAGAAAUCCCAGAAGCAAACAGGGUACAAAUUAUAGAGCAGCUAUGUAGAGAUGGCUUCUAAUCAUAAUUGAACAUGAACAAGAACAAAUAAAUCAAGGAAGAAACUCCUCCACUUCUGCUGACCUAGAUAUGCCAGUUUUAAAGCCAGAUAAAUAUCAAGCAACCUGCAAGCGAAGUUACAUAGCAGCUGAGAGAGUGACAGUCAAGCCCAUCAUGACUGGGGACACUCGGAUACAGCAGAAGCACAGGAACUUGAUUUUGAAAUCAGAUUGCAUACUUGGAACUACCACUGUUCCCGACUUAAGCUCCUUGGCAGAGAUGCUAGCUGAAUGUGCACAUCGCCGAAAAACAUUGCCCAGACGGACGGCGGCAAAUACACUCUGGGCAAGCAACUCACCUCCCAGCUGCAGCCACAGAGCUGUGUCUGGAGUCCUGCAGGUGGCUGGCUGGUCAAGCUGGAAGAGUAGGGUUUGGGUGAUGUCUGCUCUGAGUCACAUUCCGGGACAUGUGAGUAUUUUAGGCUAAAGGAGAAAAGUCCAGUAGACAUGCAGGGAGCCUUCCUCAUGUACUUGAAAGGAAAGACCUGCUCUAUGUUGUUCUUAAAAGGCCAAUAUUUUGAAAUUCCAA